AGAGUUUGAUCCUGGCUCAGAUUGAACGCUGGCGGUAUGCUUUACACAUGCAAGUCGAACGGGCUUAGGUGCUUGCACCUGAGUUAGUGGCGAACGGGUGAGUAAUAUAUCGGAACAUAUCCGGAAGUGGGGGAUAACGUAGCGAAAGUUACGCUAAUACCGCAUAUGCCCUGAGGGGGAAAGGGGGGGAUCGCAAGACCUCUCGCUUUCGGAGUGGCCGAUACCGGAUUAGCUAGAUGGUGAGGUAAAGGCUCACCAUGGCGACGAUCCGUAGCGGGUCUGAGAGGACGACCCGCCACACUGGAACUGAGACACGGUCCAGACUCCUACGGGAGGCAGCAGUGGGGAAUUUUGGACAAUGGGCGCAAGCCUGAUCCAGCCAUACCGCGUGAGUGAAGAAGGCCUUCGGGUUGUAAAGCUCUUUCAGCUGGGAAGAAACGGGUAUGCUUAAUAAGUGUGUCUAAUGACGGUACCAGCAGAAGAAGCACCGGCUAACUACGUGCCAGCAGCCGCGGUAAUACGUAGGGUGCGAGCGUUAAUCGGAAUUACUGGGCGUAAAGCGUGCGCAGGCGGUUUGAUAAGCCAGAUGUGAAAUCCCCGGGCUUAACCUGGGAACUGCAUUUGGAACUGUCAGACUAGAGUGUAGCAGAGGGGGGUAGAAUUCCACGUGUAGCAGUGAAAUGCGUAGAUAUGUGGAGGAAUACCAAUGGCGAAGGCAGCCCCCUGGGUUAACACUGACGCUCAUGCACGAAAGCGUGGGGAGCAAACAGGAUUAGAUACCCUGGUAGUCCACGCCCUAAACGAUGUCAACUAGUUGUUGGGGGAGGAGACUUCCUUAGUAACGCAGCUAACGCGUGAAGUUGACCGCCUGGGGAGUACGGUCGCAAGAUUAAAACUCAAAGGAAUUGACGG
RNAcentral lists this ribosomal RNA (912 nucleotides) under uncultured bacterium. Its description in RNAcentral is "bacterial SSU rRNA". It matches the Rfam family "Bacterial small subunit ribosomal RNA", at positions 8 to 916 of the family's 1533-position model. The record is from RNAcentral.